GAGUUGGGGUUUUUGUUUUGCCUUUUUUUUUCUGUUCCUAUGGCUUGCCAUCACCACCAGAUGGCACCGUGGAGGCUAGGAUAGGAGGACUGAAGGGCUGACGUCACCGUCACACCGGUUCCCAAUCCACUCGUCAGCGGGACUUUAUGAGACGGAGACUGCCAGCAUACCAACGCUUGAGUGUUAGCCAGUAAUGCUGUUCCUGCAACUUCAAGUCUGGCUGUAGUCCCGAGUUUCCCCUUGCGACGCCGUGGGCACGUUACCCGCUGGUGCCCAAGGCAGCCACCACUCACCUUUUCCUCCGUAAAACAAGAAGUGGUGUCUGGGAAUCCAAGCAGGCAGUCCGCUCGCUCUCCGUGACGACGUCAGGAUCCUAUUACCUGUCCGCCCUCCACCGCAGCACAACCUCCACCUCCAGCACCCCCACACCUGGCCACGCCGUUGUUUUUUCCCCCUCUCCGAGUAAGCAUACAACUUUUAAGCUCUGGAAAAUCCCCCACGGUCCCUGAAUUCACCUCCCGAUCUGUUGUUGUUCCCAGAAGUCCUGGCUUACCUGUCUGUCGCCGUCCCUUCGAUGUUUGAGAGCCUACCUGGAAAUCUUUUAAUAAAUCACUUUAACUG
Long non-coding RNA from Poecilia latipinna (sailfin molly), 621 nucleotides. RefSeq lists it as uncharacterized. The record is from RefSeq and is a predicted model, not a curated record. NCBI's taxonomy places the organism in Eukaryota, Metazoa, Chordata, Actinopteri, Cyprinodontiformes, Poeciliidae. The transcript is spliced from 2 exons.